Molecule: non-coding RNA, 1298 nt
Organism: Peromyscus maniculatus bairdii (prairie deer mouse)
Lineage: Eukaryota; Metazoa; Chordata; Mammalia; Rodentia; Cricetidae
Source: RefSeq, a predicted model, not a curated record
ACACAUAUUAGGUUUCUCAAGGAGGUCCGGAUGUUCGACAGCCUCCUAGGGCCCCGUCUUCAACUUCAGAGUUAGGUAAAGAGUUAAGAAACCAUUCCCUUUUCCUCUAGACUCAUGCAAAUGUGCAGUAAUCUACACAGCCUGGAACAUUAUAUGAGAUGACUGUUAUCAAAUCUGUUAAUCAUUUUAAGGAGCUGAACUUCAGUCAUUCUAAAACACUGCUCAUGCAAUUAAUCUUAGGUCAUUGCACCUAAACUGCUAUCAAGGAAUUGCAUGCCACCAAGAGAUAAAGUGAGGCCCAGAAAGGCUCAACUGACCGAAGUCACGGCCCUAGCCACUGCAAAGAGCACACGAGGACACCUCCCAGGCAGGUUUUACUUCCUUAACAGAGCUGAGAAACACUCAGACGCCAGAGAGCAAAAGUCAGAGCCUCCUGGGUUUCCUUCUGCAAAUCUUUCUAGACAGAACACUAGCGACCUGCUGUCAGCAGGCAUCUCCUGUGACUUGCAGUUUUCUGUGCUAGGCUAAACAAAACCGUGAGAGAACCAUGUGAUGAUGGUGACUGCAGCUCCCAGGAAUACGGUGGGCUCCGAGGGAGGCCUCUGCCUGGAAUUCACACCAGGUCUAUCUACACCCUGCUUACCCUCCCCACACAGAAGAGUGCUGGAGCCUCACCUGCUUUAGAAAUGCCACUCCGAGGACCUGCGUGCGAGUCCCUGGGAGCUUCCGCAUCCGGAGGCUGGGCAUCUACACCUCCAACGGCGUGAACGAAACUGCUUGUUAGACCCCCACCCGCUCCCUGCCACUGUGCAGCUCUCCUGGGGCAGCAGCUCAUUUUCCUGACCUUCAAGAAGCAAGUCAAUCCAGUGAUGAGAAGAAAACCCACAGGCCAAAGCGAGGCUAUGGCUUUGGACAUUGGAGUUCCUGCUCAGCUGUCCCACAUGCGUUCCUUACCACUUACUUACUUGAGAAAGGGCGUGUUAAGUUACACACACGCAUCCCUGAAGAGUUCACACUCAAGCCAACACUCCUCACAGGAUGUUAGAACACGUCUCGGCAAGAUACAGAGUGUGACAAUGUACAAUCUCGGUGCUGCAGGAAGCUGUCCCAUUUAGAAGAUGGAACACACUAAUAAAAUGCCCAACCAAAGUUCUGCCGACUGAAGGGGAGUAUCAAAGCAAGGACAUAACUGUGAGGAAAGCCGAUGAUGGCGUUACUUUUGUUUUAAAGAAACUCACUCACCUGCCUUCUGGCAAUGCACAAUCUUUUCAUACACAGCAUCUGCAUUUUCAAUCAGU